RNAcentral lists this ribosomal RNA (1423 nucleotides) under mixed culture isolate koll6. RNAcentral describes it as "bacterial SSU rRNA". It matches the Rfam family "Bacterial small subunit ribosomal RNA". The record is from RNAcentral. Lineage: Bacteria; Candidatus Microgenomatota. RNAcentral also lists the same sequence under 1 other name.
GAUAAACGCUGGCGGUGUGCCUAACACAUGCAAGUCGAGCGCCCUGGACCCUGUUUCUAAUCAUUGAUUAGCGAUAGAGUCCAGGGAGCGGCAGACGGGAGAGUAAUACGUUGAUAACUGCCCCAGAGUCAGGGAUAAGCCUUAGAAAUAGGGUCUAAUACCGGAUUGUCCCGCAAGGGUAAAGCAGCAAUGCGCUUUGGGAGGUGUCUGCGGCCUAUCAGUUAGUUGGUGAGGUAAUGGCUUACCAAGACUAUGACGGGUAGCUGGUCUGAGAGGACGAUCAGCCUCAAUGGAACUGAGAUACGGUCCAUACUCCUACGGGAGGCAGCAGUGAGGAAUUUUUCGCAAUGGGGGAAACCCUGACGAAGCAACACCGCGUGAAGGAUGAAUGGCUUUUGCUUGUAAACUUCUUUUUUGAGGGAAUAAAUAUGAAGGUACCUCAAGAAUAAGCAUCGGCUAACUACGUGCCAGCAGCCGCGGUAAGACGUAGGAUGCAAGCGUUAUCCGGAAUUAUUGGGCGUAAAGAGUUCGUAGACGAACUGUUAAGUAGAAUGUUAAAGACCAGGGCCUAACUCUGGGAAUGUGUUCUAAACUGGCAGGAUAGAGCAAUUUAGAGGCAAGUAGAAUUCUGUGUGUAGGGGUAAUAUCCGUAGAUAUACAGAGGAAUACCAAAAGCGAAGGCAGCUUGCUGGGAAUUUGCUGACGUUCAAGAACGAAAGCGUGGGGAGCAAACAGGAUUAGAUACCCUGGUAGUCCACGCCCUAAACUAUGAUCACUCGAUGUCGGGGGAUUCGACCCCUUCGGUGUCUAAGCUAACGCGAUAAGUGAUCCGCCUGGGUAGUACGAUCGCAAGAUUAAAACUCAAAGGAAUAGACGGGGACCCACACAAGCGGUGGAGCAUCUGGUUUAAUUCGACAGUAAACGAAGAACCUCACCAAGGCUUGACAUCCCGAGAAGAUUGCCGAAAGGCGAUUGUGCCGCAAGGAACUCGGUGACAGGUGCUGCAUGGUUGUCGUCAGCUCGUGCCUUGAGGUGUUCGGUUAAGUCCGUAAACGAGCGCAACCCAUGUCUUAUGUUGAAUUUUUCAUAAGAGACUGCCGGCUCCAAGUCGGAGGAAGGUAUGGAUGACGUCAAAUCAGCAUGGCCCUUAUGCCUUGGGCCACACAGGUGCUACAAUGGGAGAUACAAAGGGCUGCAACAUAGUAAUAUGAAGCCAAUCCUGAAAGUCUCUCUUAGUUCGGAUUGAGGGCUGCAAUUCGCCCUCAUGAAGCUGGAAUCGCUAGUAAACGUGAAUCAGCUAUGUCACGUUGAAUAUGUUCCUGGGUCUUGUACUCACCGCCCGUCAAGUCAUGGAAGGUUGGAGUACCCAAAGUUCCCUUAGUUUUCGAACGGGGGCCUAAGGUAAUACAACUGACUGGGACUA